Operophtera brumata (winter moth) is the source of this 46-nucleotide non-coding RNA. The record is from Rfam. NCBI's taxonomy places the organism in Eukaryota, Metazoa, Arthropoda, Insecta, Lepidoptera, Geometridae.
CACAAGGCCCUUUUCAGGGCCAUCAUACCUAAUCUGGUCACUGACA